RNAcentral lists this ribosomal RNA (246 nucleotides) under uncultured bacterium. RNAcentral's name for it is "partial 16S ribosomal RNA". It matches the Rfam family "Bacterial small subunit ribosomal RNA", at positions 523 to 769 of the family's 1533-position model. The record is from RNAcentral.
AUACGUAGGGGGCAAGCGUUAUCCGGAAUUAUUGGGCGUAAAGAGUACGUAGGCGGUUUCUUAAGCGUGGGGUGAAAGGCUAUGGCUUAACCAUAGUAAGCCUUGCGAACUGAGAGACUUGAGUGCAGGAGAGGAAAGCGGAAUUCCUAGUGUAGCGGUGAAAUGCGUAGAUAUUAGGAGGAACACCAGUGGCGAAGGCGGCUUUCUGGACUGUAACUGACGCUGAGGUACGAAAGCGUGGGGAGC